This 406-nucleotide ribosomal RNA is filed under the name uncultured bacterium. Its description in RNAcentral is "partial 16S ribosomal RNA". It matches the Rfam family "Bacterial small subunit ribosomal RNA", at positions 30 to 526 of the family's 1533-position model. The record is from RNAcentral.
AUUGAACGCUGGCGGCAGGCCUAACACAUGCAAGUCGAGCGAGCGGCGGACGGGUGAGUAAUGUAUGGGGACCUGCCUGAUGGCGGGGGAUAACUCCUGGAACCGUUAGCAAAUCCCGCUAACCCUCCGAUGUACCCUUAGGGGAUUAGCUAGUAGGUAAGGUAACGGCUUACCUAGGCGACGAUCCCUAGCUGGUCUGCGAGGAGGCUCAGCCACACUGGGACUGAGACACGGCCCAGACUCCUACGGGAGGCAGCAGUGGGGAAUAUUGGACAAUGGGCGCAAGCCUGAUGCAGCCAUGCCGCGUGUAUGAAGAAGGCCUUCGGGUUGUAAAGUACUGUCAGUAGGGAGGCGUUACCGACAGAAGAAGCACCGGCUAACUCCGUGCCAGCAGCCGCGGUAAUAC